GGGGCAGCGGACUGGUCGGAGGGCAGUCCCCGAGUCGGGAGCUCUCCCGGCGGUCAGUCCCGGACGGGGACCUCGAGGGGACUGACAGCGACAGCGGGAGCGACGCCGGGACCGACCCCGGAGUUACCACGUGAGGGCCUGGCUUCUUCCGCCCAAAGCCCUCCGCGCAGGGCUGGGCUGGGCGGUGCUGGGCGGGGCGGAAGGAGCGCGGGGGCGGGGCGGCGCGCGCGCCAGGCAUCGCCAGCCGAGCGCCGAGGCGCCGCGCCCAUUGGCGGAGACAGUUGCGCGUCGAGGCCCGAGCGGCCCGGCCCAGCCCGCGGCGGCUCCGCGUUAGUCAGUCAUGGGGCGGCCGCCCAGAGCCGCCGCGGGGGCGGCGGGGCUCGGGGCUCGGGGGUCCGGCUGAGCCGGCUGCGGAGAGUGAGCCUGCCGCGAAGGCGACGGAGGCGGACGCGGGGCGACCCCGGCGGCAGCGGCGGCGGGGGAAGCGGGAGCCGCCUGGGAUGUUCAGUGGCGGUCUUGGAGCUGAAAGUCGGCCUGCGGGACCCGGGGCGCGCGGGGACCGUUUGCUCCUAGGUGACCCAGCGUUGCGGGGUGGGGGGCAGGGGACUGCGGUGGCCGAACUCGGUCUGGGUCCCAGCCCUGCUUGAGGAUGGAAGUCAGAAGAGGAGUUCGGGCCCUGUCCUUACACUCAGGGAAGCUUCUCGUAGUGGAUGGGCUUCGUGACUACAUCGGCCUUCUGUGGAAACCAUGUAACUACCUAUAAUCUCAAUGAGCAUUCGGUUCUUCUUCUGGGGUAUUGACUGAUAACUUAAAAGUGGACUUUUUAAAGGAUACCCAAAAAAGGAAUAACGUAUAUGAAAAUGCUUGACAAAUAGGAUGUGUUCUGUUAAUACUAAUUAUCGGCUAUUACAGUUACUUUUUUGGUAAUUUGUAGGUUCCUUGUGGGCGUAAGUUUUUUGCAUUAAAUGUGAAGCAUGCUAACUUUUGCUUUUUAUGAAUUAUAAAUAUUUCCUGCCUUAAGAAUCUGUAUUAAACUGGAAAACCGAAAAGUGGGCUUACCUUGAGCAUUUUUUUGUUUGUUUUUGGUU
Molecule: long non-coding RNA, 1088 nt
Filed under: Cervus hanglu yarkandensis (Yarkand deer)
Lineage: Eukaryota; Metazoa; Chordata; Mammalia; Artiodactyla; Cervidae
Description: lncRNA (ENSCHYG00000016538.1)
Source: RNAcentral